GUUAGGAAUAUUGGACAAUGGGCGCAAGCCUGAUCCAGCCAUGCCGCGUGAACGAUGAAGGCCUUCGGGUUGUAAAGUUCUUUAGCCGAUGAUUAUAAUGACUGUAGUCGGAAAAUAAGCCCCGGCUAACUUCGUGCCAGCAGCCGCGGUAAUACGAAGGGGGCGAGCGUUAUUCGGAAUCACUGGGCGUAAAGCGUGCGUAGGCGGUUUUGUAAGUUAGGAGUGAAAGCCCAGGGCUCAACCUUGGAAUUGCUCUUAAAACUGCAAGGCUCGAAUCUCGGAGAGGAUAGCGGAAUUUCCAGUGUAGCAGUGAAAUGCGUAGAUAUUGGAAGGAACACCAGUGGCGUAAGCGGCUAUCUGGACGAGUAUUGACGCUGAGGCACGAAAGCGUGGGGAUCAAACAGGAUUAGAAACCCUUGUAGUCC
Molecule: ribosomal RNA, 425 nt
Filed under: uncultured bacterium
Lineage: Bacteria
Description: partial 16S ribosomal RNA
Rfam family: Bacterial small subunit ribosomal RNA
Source: RNAcentral